Molecule: non-coding RNA, 93 nt
Organism: Acanthosepion pharaonis
Lineage: Eukaryota; Metazoa; Mollusca; Cephalopoda; Sepiida; Sepiidae
Source: the annotation of a GenBank genome assembly
UGCACCGGUUCUCGUCCAAUCACUGAAGUUAAGCAACGUUGAGCCUUGUCAAUACCUAGAUGGUUAAAUGCUUGGGAAUAACAGGUGCUGUAA